RNAcentral lists this ribosomal RNA (486 nucleotides) under uncultured bacterium. RNAcentral's name for it is "partial 16S ribosomal RNA". It matches the Rfam family "Bacterial small subunit ribosomal RNA", at positions 30 to 507 of the family's 1533-position model. The record is from RNAcentral.
AUUGAACGCUGGCGGCAUGCCUUACACAUGCAAGUCGAACGGCAGCACGGGUGCUUGCCCCUGGUGGCGAGUGGCGAACGGGUGAGUAAUACAUCGGAACAUGUCCUGUAGUGGGGGAUAGCCCGGCGAAAGCCGGAUUAAUACCGCAUACGAUCCACGGAUGAAAGCGGGGGACCUUCGGGCCUCGCGCUAUAGGGUUGGCCGAUGGCUGAUUAGCUAGUUGGUGGGGUAAAGGCCUACCAAGGCGACGAUCAGUAGCUGGUCUGAGAGGACGACCAGCCACACUGGAACUGAGACACGGCCCAGACUCCUACGGGAGGCAGCAGUGGGGAAUUUUGGGCAAUGGGCGAAAGCCUGAUCCAGCAAUGCCGCGUGUGUGAAGAAGGCCUUCGGGUUGUAAAGCACUUUUGUCCGGAAAGAAAUCCUUGGCCCUAAUACAGUCGGGGGAUGACGGUACCGGAAGAAUAAGCACCGGCUAACUACGUG